RNAcentral lists this ribosomal RNA (253 nucleotides) under uncultured bacterium. RNAcentral describes it as "partial 16S ribosomal RNA". It matches the Rfam family "Bacterial small subunit ribosomal RNA", at positions 524 to 776 of the family's 1533-position model. The record is from RNAcentral.
UACGUAGGGGGCAAGCGUUGUCCGGAUUUAUUGGGCGUAAAGAGCGUGUAGGCGGCCUGGUAGGUCAGCUGUGAAAACUCGAGGCUCAACCUCGAGACGCCGGUUGAAACCAUCAGGCUAGAGUCCGGAAGAGGAGAGUGGAAUUCCCGGUGCAGCGGUGAAAUGCGCAGAUAUCGGGAAGAACACCCGUGGCGAAGGCGGCUUUCUGGGACGGUACUGACGCUGAGACGCGAAAGCGUGGGGAGCGAACAGG